This 69-nucleotide transfer RNA is filed under the name Myctophum nitidulum (pearly lanternfish). RNAcentral's name for it is "tRNA-His". It matches the Rfam family "tRNA". From Rfam's summary of the family: Transfer RNA (tRNA) molecules are approximately 80 nucleotides in length. The record is from RNAcentral. Lineage: Eukaryota; Metazoa; Chordata; Actinopteri; Myctophiformes; Myctophidae.
GUGAGUAUAGUUUAAUAAAAACGUCAGAUUGUGAUUCUGAAGACAGAGGAUAAUACCCUCUUACCCACC